GAAGGGACCUAGCGUAGUUCGGAAUUACUGGGCUUAAAGAGUUCGUAGGUGGUUGAAAAAGUUGGUGGUGAAAUCCCAGAGCUUAACUCUGGAACUGCCAUCAAAACUUUUCAGCUUGAGUAUGAUAGAGGAAAGCAGAAUUUCUAGUGUAGAGGUGAAAUUCGUAGAUAUUAGAAAGAAUACCAAUUGCGAAGGCAGCUUUCUGGAUCAUUACUGACACUGAGGAACGAAAGCAUGGGUAGCGAAGAGGAUUAGAUACCCUCGUAGUCCAUGCCGUAAACGAUGUGUGUUAGACGUUGGAAAUUUAUUUUCAGUGUCGCAGCGAAAGCGAUAAACACACCGCCUGGGGAGUACGACCGCAAGGUUAAAACUCAAAUGAAUUGACGGGGACCCGCACAAGUAGUGGAGCAUGUGGUUUAAUUCGAAGAUACGCGCAGAACCUUACCAACACUUGACAUGUUCGUCGCGACUUUAAGAGAUUAAAGUUUUCGGUUCGGCCGGACGAAACACAGGUGCUGCAUGGCUGUCGUCAGCUCGUGUCGUGAGAUGUUGGGUUAAGUCCCGCAACGAGCGCAACCCUCACUUUUAGUUGCCAUCAUUUAGUUGGGCACUCUGAAAGAACUGCCAGUGAUAAGCUGGAGGAAGG
This 646-nucleotide ribosomal RNA is filed under the name uncultured Alphaproteobacteria bacterium. RNAcentral's name for it is "bacterial SSU rRNA". It matches the Rfam family "Bacterial small subunit ribosomal RNA", at positions 527 to 1173 of the family's 1533-position model. Lineage: Bacteria; Pseudomonadati; Pseudomonadota; Alphaproteobacteria. The record is from RNAcentral.